GCAAUUUAGCCAAGGAAUCCGAAGUCCCCUGUAAUCCUUCUCUUUCUCAUUAUCUCGUCUCAACCUCUGAGCUCAAUAGCAUGAUCCUCUAGAAUUUCAUUGCAGCUUUUGGUGAUUCUACGACAAUAUGACCCCCAUCUCGUCCAUCGAACUCAAUUAUCUUGUCUUUUGUUACCUUCAAGUAUCAGGUUUUAUGCAUUCAACAUUUUAGGAUAUGAGGCAGGCAUUAAUAAAUGCCCUGUUGAUGGCAAUUUGGUUCCACCCGGAGCUCUCAUCACAUUUGUACAGAAAGGACUCUAGUAUCUAGAGAUGGAAGCAAACACGAGUAAUCUUGCCAGAGUGAAACAGAUAAUGGAUAAAGAUUUCUCAUUUUUACAACCCUUAGAUCUCAUUACAAAGGAUGUCCAUGAACUGAGGCAAAUGAUAAAAGAGAGACAGAAAAAUUAGCAGAAAGGUAGAGAUAAAGAAUUUGACAGAGGGCAGGAAGAGAGAGAAACAACAUAAGGAUCACACUAAUAGAGAAAUGGUUACAAAUAAGUAAGAUAGCCAAUGUAAAUAACGAAGAGAAUGGGAUUUCUGGAGGUACAUCCAUUUAAAAAAAUUCCCUGUUGUGCUUUCCAUUUUUUUGUAUUAGUAUAAAUGUAUAAUUGAUUUUUGUUGAAUGUUUUACUUUUACAAGGGAGAAAAGGAUACUAGGGCAAGCUUAACUAUUUUGAUUUAGGUUUAAUUAUUUGCCCUGUUAAACAUGGAAACAGUAGUUAUCAAAAUUGAGAAACCAGUGAGGCUGUGAAUCUUGUACCAUU
RNA transcript from Camellia sinensis, 803 nucleotides. RefSeq lists it as uncharacterized. NCBI's taxonomy places the organism in Eukaryota, Viridiplantae, Streptophyta, Magnoliopsida, Ericales, Theaceae. The record is from RefSeq and is a predicted model, not a curated record.